RNAcentral lists this small nuclear RNA (189 nucleotides) under Egretta garzetta (little egret). Its description in RNAcentral is "U2 spliceosomal RNA". It matches the Rfam family "U2 spliceosomal RNA". From Rfam's summary of the family: U2 is a small nuclear RNA (snRNA) component of the spliceosome (involved in pre-mRNA splicing). Complementary binding between U2 snRNA (in an area lying towards the 5' end but 3' to hairpin I) and the branchpoint sequence (BPS) of the intron results the bulging out of an unpaired adenosine, on the BPS, which initiates a nucleophilic attack at the intronic 5' splice site, thus starting the first of two transesterification reactions that mediate splicing. The record is from Rfam by way of RNAcentral. Lineage: Eukaryota; Metazoa; Chordata; Aves; Pelecaniformes; Ardeidae.
AUUCUGUCUCUGAUCUUUGUCCUAAGGUCAAGUUUAACAUCUGAUCUUAGAAGUUAAAUAUCUUCUACAUCCUUGACUUGAAAGUGCCAUAUCAAACAGAUUUUUGGGACCAAAGGAUGGGUUAGAACUUCUUCUAUCUAUCCUAUGCAUCUGCCUGUUACUGCAGCGUCUCCAGAAGCAGCACACCAA